UGGGGAAUAUUGGACAAUGGGCGAAAGCCUGAUCCAGCCAUGCCGCGUGUGUGAAGAAGGUCUUCGGAUUGUAAAGCACUUUAAGUUGGGAGGAAGGGCAGUUACCUAAUACGUGAUUGUUUUGACGUUACCGACAGAAUAAGCACCGGCUAACUCUGUGCCAGCAGCCGCGGUAAUACAGAGGGUGCAAGCGUUAAUCGGAAUUACUGGGCGUAAAGCGCGCGUAGGUGGUUAGUUAAGUUGGAUGUGAAAUCCCCGGGCUCAACCUGGGAACUGCAUUCAAAACUGACUGACUAGAGUAUGGUAGAGGGUGGUGGAAUUUCCUGUGUAGCGGUGAAAUGCGUAGAUAUAGGAAGGAACACCAGUGGCGAAGGCGACCACCUGGACUGAUACUGACACUGAGGUGCGAAAGCGUGGGGAGCAAACAGGAUUAGAUACCCAUGUAGUCCCUGAGCGGGCUGGCAAGGCGCAU
This 472-nucleotide ribosomal RNA is filed under the name uncultured bacterium. RNAcentral describes it as "bacterial SSU rRNA". It matches the Rfam family "Bacterial small subunit ribosomal RNA", at positions 355 to 825 of the family's 1533-position model. The record is from RNAcentral.